GUAAAUAUUCAUCUCAUUUGUAUCUCUUCUGCAGCCAUUAUAAUUCCCCACCAUCUCAGUGCUUACCCAGUAACAUAAUCAAGGGAAGGAACCAGUCUAACCAGAAGGUGUAUAUGAAGGAUUAUUUAUCAGCAGGGGAUGCUGUGUGGACAGAAGAAUGCAACUUUCGAUCCUUGAAGCUCCGCUAGAGGGACUGGAUCACUGCUAUCCUAUCUACCAUGACUGCCUUGGAGGUGGAUGAGACAGUCCCUGGAUUCACCACAGUAGAGUAAAGCCAGUCAUGAGACUUCGAGUGCAUCCCCAACUCAUCAGUGCCAUGUAAACUGACAAUCUCGAAGGAGAAGACUGUGAGCUCAGGAACACCACUGAAAGAAGAUAGCCCUGCUCUGCUCAUGCUGGAGGCUGGUUAGCCUGUGCACAGCAGAAGCCUGAGCACGCUCCUGAGUGCUGACACAGGUGGGUUGCGUCCUUUUUGUGACUGCCUGUAAUGCACUGCCGCCCC
Molecule: long non-coding RNA, 502 nt
Filed under: Fukomys damarensis (Damara mole-rat)
Lineage: Eukaryota; Metazoa; Chordata; Mammalia; Rodentia; Bathyergidae
Description: lncRNA (ENSFDAG00000032727.1)
Source: RNAcentral